Molecule: long non-coding RNA, 752 nt
Filed under: Homo sapiens (human)
Lineage: Eukaryota; Metazoa; Chordata; Mammalia; Primates; Hominidae
Description: HSALNT0013086
Source: RNAcentral
UCCUUUGCUCCCUCUUCCACCCCACUCACCUUCUCUCAUUUCUUUGGGUGCUCCCUGCUCUCUCAUCACAGGGAUUUCACAGCCGCACCCCUCUGCCUGCAGUGCUCUUGAGUCUGCCUUCCCAUGCCCUCCACAUGCCCUUGGCAGGGUUGAUUAGGUUAGGGGCUUUCUUAAUGCACCUGGUACUUCUGCAUCAUGGCACUCACCUCAAUUUGUAAUUGGAUAUCUACAUGUUGAUUAUUUGAUUAUUGCUUAUCUCCCUCAAUAGACUAUAAGCUUCAUGAGGACAUGUUUUUGUCCAUGAUUAUAUUCUGGUGAUUGACCUAGAUGUACAUAGGAAAAGCCCAAAACAUCUUUUAAAUUUCUUUUUUUUUUUUCUUUUUAAGAUGGAGUCUCACUCUGUCACCAGGCUGGAGUGCAGUGGCACUAUCUCUGCUCACUUCAAGCUCCACCUACUGGGUUUGAGCGAUUCUCCUCCCUCAGCCUCCGGAGUAGCUGGGGCUACAGGACACAGAAGGCACUAUCCAUGAACCAGAAAGCGGGCCCUCACCAGACAUCGAAUCUGCCAGCACCUUGAUCUCGCACUUUCCAGCCUCCAGGACUUCGAGAAAUAAAUUUCUGUUGUUUAAAAGCUAUACAGUUUACGGUAUUUUGUUGUGAGCCGGAGUGUACUGAGAGGAUACCUUUCUGAUAUUCAUCAUAAGAUUUGGUUUCUGGUAGGCACUCUCCAAAUGCUAUAUAGUGCUUUAUUG